Molecule: ribosomal RNA, 420 nt
Filed under: uncultured bacterium
Lineage: Bacteria
Description: bacterial SSU rRNA
Rfam family: Bacterial small subunit ribosomal RNA
Source: RNAcentral
AGGGAAUAUUGGGCAAUGGAUGCAAGUCUGACCCAGCCAUGCCGCGUGCAGGAAGAAGGUCCUCUGGAUUGUAAACUGCUUUUUUGGGGGAAGAAGAGACAUCUUGCGAGGUGUUGUGACGGUACCCUAAGAAUAAGCCACGGCUAACUACGUGCCAGCAGCCGCGGUAAUACGUAGGUGGCAAGCGUUGUCCGGAUUUAUUGGGUUUAAAGGGUGCGUAGGUGGUUUGAUAAGUCAGUGGUGAAAGAUGGUUGCUCAACAAUCAAACUGCCAUUGAUACUGUUAGACUUGAGAGAAGUGGAGGCUGGUGGAAUGGAUGGUGUAGCGGUGAAAUUCAUAGAUAUCAUCCAGAACGUCAAUUGCGAAGGCAGCUGGCUGUACUUUUUCUGACACUGAGGCACGAAAGUGUGGGGAUCAAAC